GAUGAACGCUGGCGGCAUGCCUAACACAUGCAAGUCGAGCGGAAAGACGCUGAGCUUGCUCCUCUGAGGGUAGCGGCGGGCGGGUGGGUAACACGUGCAUAACAGACCUAUAUGACUGGGAGAACUUCGUGAAAACGGCGCUAAUACUGGAUAAUAUAAAGCACCGCUGGGUUCAAUGGUGAAAGAGGGUUUUAGUGUCUCGUUUAGAUGGUUCGGGGCCGCCUAAGCGAGUUGGUAAGGCAAGACCUUACCAAGGCUACGACGCGUAGCGGACCUGAGAGGGUGGUCGGCCACACUGGAACUGAGACACGGCCCAGACUCCUACGGGAGGCAGCAGUAGGGAAUCUUCCGCAAUGGGCGAAAGCCUGAUGGAGCAACGCCGCGUGAGUGAUGAAGGUCUUCGGAUCGUAAAACUCUGUUGUUAGGCAAGAACAAAUGUGUAAUUAUAUGUGCAGGUUAUGACGGUACCUAAUCAAUAAGCCACGGCUAACUACGUG
RNAcentral lists this ribosomal RNA (497 nucleotides) under uncultured bacterium. Its description in RNAcentral is "partial 16S ribosomal RNA". It matches the Rfam family "Bacterial small subunit ribosomal RNA", at positions 28 to 507 of the family's 1533-position model. The record is from RNAcentral.